RNAcentral lists this ribosomal RNA (501 nucleotides) under uncultured bacterium. Its description in RNAcentral is "bacterial SSU rRNA". It matches the Rfam family "Bacterial small subunit ribosomal RNA", at positions 8 to 507 of the family's 1533-position model. The record is from RNAcentral.
AGAGUUUGAUCAUGGCUCAGAUUGAACGCUGGCGGCAUGCCUUACACAUGCAAGUCGAACGGUAACGGGCCUUCGGGUGCCGACGAGUGGCGAACGGGUGAGUAAUGCAUCGGAACGUACCUUUCAGUGGGGAUAACGUAGCGAAAGUUACGCUAAUACCGCAUAUUCUGUGAGCAGGGAAGCAGGGGAUCGCAAGACCUUGCGCUGAUUGAGCGGCCGAUGUCAGAUUAGCUAGUUGGUGAGGUAAAGGCUCACCAAGGCGACGAUCUGUAGCGGGUCUGAGAGGAUGAUCCGCCACACUGGAACUGAGACACGGUCCAGACUCCUACGGGAGGCAGCAGUGGGGAAUUUUGGACAAUGGGGGCAACCCUGAUCCAGCCAUGCCGCGUGAGUGAAGAAGGCCUUCGGGUUGUAAAGCUCUUUCGGCCGGGAAGAAAUCGCAUGGGUUAAUACCCUGUGCGGAUGACGGUACCGGCAUAAGAAGCACCGGCUAACUACGUG